UGGGGAAUAUUGCACAAUGGGCGGAAGCCUGAUGCAGCGACGCCGCGUGGGGGAUGAAGGCCUUCGGGUUGUAAACUCCUUUCGACAGGGACGAAGCUUUUGUGACGGUACCUGUAUAAGAAGCACCGGCUAACUACGUGCCAGCAGCCGCGGUAAUACGUAGGGUGCGAGCGUUGUCCGGAAUUACUGGGCGUAAAGAGCUCGNAGGUGGUUUGUCGCGUCGUCUGUGAAAUUCCGGGGCUUAACUCCGGGCGUGCAGGCGAUACGGGCUGACUUGAGUGCUGUAGGGGAGACUGGAAUUCCUGGUGUAGCGGUGAAAUGCGCAGAUAUCAGGAGGAACACCGAUGGCGAAGGNCAGGUCUCUGGGCAGUAACUGACGCUGAGGAGCGAAAGCAUUGGGUAGCGAACAGGAUUAGAUACCCUGGUAGUCCAUGCCGUAAACGGUGGGCGCUAGGUGUAGGGGGCUUCCACGUCUUCUGUGCCGUAGCUAACGCAUUANNGCCCGCCUGGGAGUACGGCCGC
Molecule: ribosomal RNA, 522 nt
Filed under: uncultured bacterium
Lineage: Bacteria
Description: bacterial SSU rRNA
Rfam family: Bacterial small subunit ribosomal RNA
Source: RNAcentral